AUCUUCUGCUGACAAUAAACGUGCUUUUAUGAUAAACUACCGAGAGAUCCGGUACAAAACAAUCUUGAAAAUUUGCUGGAUGACUUCUGAACGACCAAAAGUGACAUGAAGGAACAAGUCAAACCCAUCUCCCAAGAUGGCCUUGACUUCGGGAAACCGCAGGGGGCCCGGGGGGCCGUGUGGCUCGGGUCUUCACAGUCAGUGUGAACGGGACCAGCGCUCGGAGAUGGCCCAGGCGGAACACGGCGCACUCCCAAGCGCUCUGCACUAGCGUGACGUUCCUCACCACGAGCCGGAACUCGCCCGCGGACUCUUGUGCCUUGCGUGCUCCAGGUCUGAGCCAGACCGUUUGCAGUCUCCUUUAGACCCAGUCUGUCCUGAACAAGGCCGUUUGCAGUCUUCUUCAGACCCAGUCUGUCUCCAGCUCCAAAAGCCCUGAAGCUUUGUUGGUGUUAGAGGUUCACAGAAGAGAUGCAACGAGCCGGUCCUGCUGAUUCUGUACACAGGCGUGGUAUCCUUUACACCUGGGAAAAAAUAAUACAUUCGCUUGAUAUGUAUGUAUGUAUGUACAGUAUGUAUGUGCAUAUAAUUACAGUCAAAAUGAUAUUAAAACAUAACAAAUUUGCAUAUGUUUCCGCUUAUAUAAUUAAUAAAAUUGGAAUGGUUAUUUAACUAGUUUUCUGCUUUGUAUAUGUAAUUUGUAAUAUUUAAUUCAAUAUUGUAAUAUUUAAAUUUGUAAUAUGUAAUUCAAUACUGUAUUUACCCUGCUGUAUUUCCAAUUUCACUGCAGUUUCCCCUGUUUCAUUGAUACAGCUGUAAUUGCCUUCAAAUUCAAGUUUUCCACCAGCAGAUAUGCAGUGUUGUCGACCACUAAUGUCUUGAUGUUACUUGAUGUCUGCUUGGUGACCCAUUCCCACUUCGGAGGAAAAUUUCUCUUUGAUUUGCAACGUAACGCGGCAUCCAAUCCACGCAGUACUUUGUUGACUUUAUCUAGCAGAACAAACAUUAAAAUAGUUUCCACGCAUUCACAAAUAAUUCGGCCAAAUACACAACCAACCAAUUCUUGAAAUCAGAUGGAAAUAUUAUGCACUUCUACACCCGAAAGCUUUUCACAAGAGAUCGUUACUCUGAAACAACCCUGCUAUGUAACCCUUUCGAUUGUCAGAUGUUAA
This is a long non-coding RNA of Anguilla anguilla (European eel), 1172 nucleotides long. RefSeq lists it as uncharacterized. Lineage: Eukaryota; Metazoa; Chordata; Actinopteri; Anguilliformes; Anguillidae. The transcript has 4 exons. The record is from RefSeq and is a predicted model, not a curated record.